Nicotiana attenuata is the source of this 149-nucleotide long non-coding RNA. RefSeq lists it as uncharacterized. The record is from RefSeq and is a predicted model, not a curated record. The transcript has 3 exons. NCBI's taxonomy places the organism in Eukaryota, Viridiplantae, Streptophyta, Magnoliopsida, Solanales, Solanaceae.
AAAUCCUAAAUCAUUUGAUCCAAAACAAGAACGAGUAUUGCAUGGAGGUUACACCCAAAACUUUAGCUGAUGUCAAAGGUGGCACCCUAGCUAAUCUCAUAUGAAGGAAAAGUACAGCUUUUGGAAAUAGCACAAGUGCCUGAUGAUCA